GAUGAAGAACGUAGCGAAAUGCGAUAAGUAAUGUGAAUUGCAGAAUUCAGUGAAUCAUCGAAUCUUUGAACGCACAUUGCGCCCGGUAGUAAUCUGCCGGGCAUGCCUGUCCGAGCGUCAUUUCACCCCUCGAACCACUAUUCGCGUAGCUGGAUCGGUGUUGGGGCACUACGGUGGAAUACCCGUAGGCCCCGAAAUGAAGUGGCGGUCCCGCCGCGGCGCCCCCAUGCGUAGUAACUUUCAGUCUCGCAUCGGGUCCCGGCGGAGGCCUGCCGUCAAGCCUAUUUUAUAAUCUUUUACAGAUGGUUUGACCUCGGAUCAGGUAGGGUUACUCGCUGAACUUAAGCAUAUCAAUAAGCGGAGGA
This 365-nucleotide unclassified non-coding RNA is filed under the name soil metagenome. Its description in RNAcentral is "partial contains 5.8S ribosomal RNA, internal transcribed spacer 2, and large subunit ribosomal RNA". The stretch from base 1 to 120 matches the Rfam family "5.8S ribosomal RNA", at positions 35 to 154 of the family's 154-position model. The record is from RNAcentral.